Molecule: long non-coding RNA, 442 nt
Organism: Mauremys reevesii (Reeves's turtle)
Lineage: Eukaryota; Metazoa; Chordata; Testudines; Geoemydidae
Exons: 3
Source: RefSeq, a predicted model, not a curated record
UAUAAAAAACAGAGACCAGAUACUGUGGGCCUGAUUCACAUAUGGCACAAAAAGAGGAAUCCUGCCUGUGACUAUCGUUAAGGAUCUGGCACAAACAAAUGGGGAGCGAAGGAAUCAAAGUGCAGCAGACUCUCCAAGGGCUUUGAAUUCACACGCCCCAGAUGGCUGAGACCCAUAAAGACACAACAUGGCCAUGAGUUCAGGCUGGAGCUAUGUCUCCAGCCUGACAGGCUGUGAAUGGUCUUUAAACACAGUCCUACCUACAUUGGCUCCUUGGGGUGUGGCUUCUGUCCAGGACAUUUUGUCAGAAGGCAUCCAGCCUGGAUUUGAAGACAUCAAGAGACGCAGAAUCCACCACUUCCCUGUGUAGUCUGUUUCAUCAUUAUCCUACUUAACUCUGACCUAUGGCUUCCCAUGCCUAGAUCGCAAAGAGCUCUCCAAC